UCAAGCGUUUAAGAGCAUUUGAUGGAUGCCUUGGCACACAGAGGCGAUGAAGGACGUAGUACGUUGCGAUAAGCUUCGGGGAGUUACGAACAAACUUUGAUCCGAAGAUUUCCGAAUGGGGCAACCCAACUCUUUUGAGUUAUUGCUAACUGAAUACAUAGGUUAGUAAAGCGAACCCAGCGAACUGAAACAUCUAAGUAGCUGGAGGAAAGGAUAUCAACCGAUACUCCGUAAGUAGUGGCGAGCGAAAGCGGAUCAGGCCAGUGGUUUUAAUUGUACAACCAAAAUUACCUGGAAAGGUAAACCGUAGAGAGUGAUAGUCUCGUAUGGGUAAUGACGAUUAAAAUCCUUGAGUAAGACGGGACACGUGAAAUCCUGUCCGAAUAUGGGGGGACCACCCUCCAAGCCUAAGUACUACUGUGUGACCGAUAGUGAACUAGUACCGUGAGGGAAAGGUGAAAAGAACCCCGACGAGGGGAGUGAAAUAGAUCCUGAAAUUGAAUGCUUACAAGCUGUCGAAGCCCGCAAGGGUGACGGCGUACCUUUUGUAUAAUGGGUCAGCGAGUUAGUUUAAGUUGCAAGCUUAAGCCGUGAGGUGUAGGCGUAGCGAAAGCGAGUCUGAAUAGGGCGCUAGUAUCUUGAAUUAAACCCGAAACCGAGUGAUCUAGCCAUGAGCAGGUUGAAGAUAAGGUAAUACUUAUUGGAGGACCGAACCAUUAGACGUUGAAAAGUCUUUGGAUGACUUGUGGUUAGGGGUGAAAGGCCAAUCAAACUCGGAUAUAGCUGGUUCUCCGCGAAAACUAUUUAGGUAGUGCGUCAUAUGAAUACCAUCGGGGGUAAAGCACUGGAUGGGCAAGGGGGAAGAAAUUCUUACUAAGUCCAACCAAACUCUGAAUACCGAUGAGUAAUAUAUGGCAGACAGACUACGGGUGCUAAGGUCCGUGGUCGAGAGGAAAACAGUCCAGACCAACAGCUAAGGUCCCCAAGUUAUUGUUAAGUGGGAAAGGAUGUCGGACGACCAAAACAGCCAGGAGGUUGGCUUAGAAGCAGCCAUCCUUUAAAGAAAGCGUAACAGCUCACUGGUCUAAAUAAGUUGUCCGGCGCCGAAGAUUUAACGGGGCUAAACAAUACACCGAAGCUUUGGACACAAUUUAUUGUGUGGUAGCGGAGCGUUCCGUACGUUGUUGAAGGGAGACUCGUGAGAGCUCCUGGAGAUAUCGGAAGUGAGAAUGCUGACAUGAGUAGCGACAAAAAGUGUGAGAAACACUUUCGCCGAAAAUCCAAGGGUUCCUGCGCAAGGCUAAUCCGCGCAGGGUGAGUCGGCUCCUAAGGCGAGGUCGAAAGACGUAGUCGAUGGGAAACAGGUUAAUAUUCCUGUACCUGAUGAGAUGUGACGGAUGACGUAUAUUGUAUACCCUUAUAAUGAUUGGGUGUGCAGUGAAGUUGUUCCAGGAAAUAGCCUCAUCAUUAAAGACCGUACCCGAAACCGACACAGGUGGAUAGGUAGAAUAUACCAAGGCGCUUGAGAGAACUAUGCUGAAGGAACUCGGCAAAAUACCUCCGUAACUUCGGGAGAAGGAGGACCUAUGUUUGGGCAACCAGAUGUAGGUGGCACAGAAAUGGGGGUAGCAACUGUUUAUUAAAAACACAGGACUCUGCAAAGCCGCAAGGCGAAGUAUAGGGUCUGACGCCUGCCCGGUGCCGGAAGAUUAAAGUGAGUGGUGCAAGCUACGAGCUGAAGUCCCGGUGAACGGCGGCCGUAACUAUAACGGUCCUAAGGUAGCGAAAUUCCUUGUCGGG
RNAcentral lists this ribosomal RNA (1800 nucleotides) under seawater metagenome. Its description in RNAcentral is "bacterial LSU rRNA". It matches the Rfam family "Bacterial large subunit ribosomal RNA", at positions 1 to 1976 of the family's 2925-position model. The record is from RNAcentral.